UACGUAGGGGGCAAGCGUUAUCCGGAUUUACUGGGUGUAAAGGGAGCGCAGGCGGUAUGGCAAGUCAGAUGUGAAAACCCAGGGCCCAACCCUGGGACUGCAUUUGAAACUGCCAUACUGGAGUGCCGGAGAGGUAAGUGGAAUUCCUAGUGUAGCGGUGAAAUGCAUAGAUAUCACGAAGAACUCCGAUUGCGAAGGCAGCUUACCAGUCUGCGACUGACGCUCAGGCACGAAAGUGUGGGUAUCGAACAGG
Molecule: ribosomal RNA, 253 nt
Filed under: uncultured Eubacteriales bacterium
Lineage: Bacteria; Bacillati; Bacillota; Clostridia; Eubacteriales
Description: uncultured Clostridiales bacterium partial 16S ribosomal RNA
Rfam family: Bacterial small subunit ribosomal RNA
Source: RNAcentral